This 66-nucleotide transfer RNA is filed under the name Pseudocoladenia festa. Its description in RNAcentral is "tRNA-Ile". The record is from RNAcentral. Lineage: Eukaryota; Metazoa; Arthropoda; Insecta; Lepidoptera; Hesperiidae.
AAUAAAGUGCCUGAUAAAAGGAUUAAUCUGAUAGGUUAAAUAAUGUAACUUAAAUUACCUUUAUUA